RNAcentral lists this ribosomal RNA (253 nucleotides) under uncultured bacterium. Its description in RNAcentral is "partial 16S ribosomal RNA". It matches the Rfam family "Bacterial small subunit ribosomal RNA", at positions 524 to 776 of the family's 1533-position model. The record is from RNAcentral.
UACGUAGGUGGCAAGCGUUAUCCGGAUUUACUGGGUGUAAAGGGAGCGUAGACGGCAGGGCAAGUCUGAAGUGAAAGCCCGCGGCCCAACUGCGGGACUGCUUUGGAAACUGCCCGGCUAGAGUGCUGGAGAGGUAAGCGGAAUUCCUAGUGUAGCGGUGAAAUGCGUAGAUAUUAGGAGGAACACCAGUGGCGAAGGCGGCUUACUGGACAGUAACUGACGUUGAGGCUCGAAAGCGUGGGGAGCAAACAGG